CAAUAUUAUGGAAAGAAAUUUGAGCCUUUUCGUGAGUUGCCUGAAUGGGAAUUUAAAAGUUACUUGGGAUGGCAUGAGCAGGGAAAUAGUGGUUUAUUUUGUGGGCUCCACAUUGAUAAUGGUCGUAUUGGAGGGAAAAUGAAGAAAACAUUGAGAGAGGUAAUAGAGAAGUACAAUUUAGAUGUGCAACUGACACCAAACCAGA
This 205-nucleotide unclassified non-coding RNA is filed under the name Hevea brasiliensis (rubber tree). Lineage: Eukaryota; Viridiplantae; Streptophyta; Magnoliopsida; Malpighiales; Euphorbiaceae. The record is from RNAcentral.